Molecule: ribosomal RNA, 634 nt
Filed under: uncultured marine eukaryote
Lineage: Eukaryota
Description: SSU rRNA
Rfam family: Eukaryotic small subunit ribosomal RNA
Source: RNAcentral
AAAAAGCUCGUAGUUGGAUUUCUGUCGAGGGCGAGCGGUCCACCCUAAGGGUGAGUAUCUGUCAGCGCUUGGCAUCCUCUUGGAGAACGCUCCUGUGCUUUGUUGCGUGGGACGGAGUCCAAGACUUUUACUUUGAGGAAAUUAGAGUGUUCACGGCAAGCAAUCGCUUUGAAUACAUUAGCAUGGAAUAAUAAUAUAGGACCUUGGUACUAUUUUGUUGGUUUCUAGAACUAAGGUAAUGAUUAAUAGGGACAGUUUGGGGGCAUUCGUAUUAACGCGUCAGAGGUGGAAUUCUUGGAUUGCGUUACGACGAACUACUGCGAAAGCAUUUGCCAAGGAUGUUUUCAUUGAUCAAGAACGAAAGUAUGGGGAUCGAAGACGAUUAGAUACCGUCGUAGUCUAUACCAUAAACUAUGCCGACUAGAAAUGGGUCAUCGUAAAAUUCUUGACUUGAUCCGCGUCUUAUGAGAAAUCAAAGUUUUUGGGUUCCGGGGGGAGUAUGGUCGCAAGGCUGAAACUUAAAGGAAUUGACGGAAGGGCACCACCAGGAGUGAAGCCUGCGGCUUAAUUUGACUCAACACGGGAAAACUUACCAGGUCCAGACAUAAUAAGGAUUGACAGAUUGAUAGCUCUU